GAUGAAGAACGUAGUGAAAUGCGAUAAGUAAUGUGAAUUGCAGAAUUCAGUGAAUCAUCGAAUCUUUGAACGCACAUUGCGCCCCCUGGUAUUCCGGGGGGCAUGCCUGUCCGAGCGUCAUUACAACCCUCAAGCUCAGCUUGGUGUUGGGCCCCGCCGCCCCGGCGGGCCCUAAAGUCAGUGGCGGUGCCGUCCGGCUCCGAGCGUAGUAAUUCUUCUCGCUCUGGAGGUCCGGUCGUGUGCUCGCCAGCAACCCCCAAUUUUUUUCAGGUUGACCUCGGAUCAGGUAGGGGUACCCGCUGAACUUAAGCAUAUCAAUAAGCGGAGGA
This 329-nucleotide unclassified non-coding RNA is filed under the name soil metagenome. RNAcentral's name for it is "partial contains 5.8S ribosomal RNA, internal transcribed spacer 2, and large subunit ribosomal RNA". The stretch from base 1 to 120 matches the Rfam family "5.8S ribosomal RNA", at positions 35 to 154 of the family's 154-position model. The record is from RNAcentral.